This is a long non-coding RNA of Alosa sapidissima (American shad), 3997 nucleotides long. RefSeq lists it as uncharacterized. The transcript has 3 exons. The record is from RefSeq and is a predicted model, not a curated record. Lineage: Eukaryota; Metazoa; Chordata; Actinopteri; Clupeiformes; Clupeidae.
AAUGACAUGUGUUCGAGCGGAAGGACGAGCGGUGUAGCAUAACGGGAGAGUAAUGGCGUAGUUGCAGCCCUCACGGGCCGGGCGAAAAGAACCUGGCCCGUGAGGACUGCCUACCCUGUACAGAGAAACCGAGCAAACAUGUCCCUAUGAUCCAGCAACACCGUUUCUGCGCGUUGUAAUUGUAGCGAACCCUGUUGCCUUGUUUUUCACUUCACGGUAAAACUAUUUCAGUCAUCCCACAUUUCAUAAAUAUCAUGACCAACAUUAACAUAUUCAAGAGGCUCAAGUGCAUUCCAAAGCAUUCCAUCUCCAGUCCUCUGCUGCCCUCAGACAGAUGUGUUGCUCUACUUUUGACAAAGGAUGCAUACCCAAGAGGACCAACAGAGAUGCAAGAUCUGGAUGCAUACUCAAGAGGACCAACAGAGAUGCAAGGUCUGCAGUGAACAAGUUGAAAGAUGAAACACCCAAGGUCAAGUGCUGGGCUGCGAAAAAUGGUGGUGAUCACUGCUGGUCACUACAUAUCCAUGAAACCAAAUAUGCCCUUCCAGCUGCCCCACCUUCUCUAAACACAGUGCUGGAGGGACCAACAUGUAGCUUUUAGUCUAUACAAUUAAUUGUAACACCAGUGGGAGUUUUAGUAGCAGAUUGGAAUUAAGAAAUUAGCUUUCUGGUAUCUGUCUUGAAUUAGAUUUAUUUUAAUUUAUUUGUGGAUUGCUCACAAAAUGUGGCAAAGGAAUAAGUAGAUGGUGGACAUAAAACAAGACGUAAAUCACUACCUCACUGACAAUCAUCUGUAAGGCCCCAUCCUUCUUGAAGUUGAGGUUUGCAUUAUAGCAGAGAUGACGUGUGCUUCUUCAAAUGGUGAUGGUGGACAAUCUUAGAAUCAUGGUAUAUAUUUUAAACUUGAUCUUUGAGGGUAUUUUGUAGACACCCCAUUCAUUCAGUUAAAACAUUGUGUCCACCUCAUGCAUGCAUCAGGAAGGUAUUCUGGCCAAGAUGGCGUUUUGUUCAUAGAGGUAUAUGAUCCAUAUCCUGGAUAAAUCCACAUAAUUCAGUUUGAUUAAAAAUGACAUAGGGAACUGAAUCGAACGGUCAAGGAAAAAUAGUGGGUGAUUGAGUUUUUGCACCUGUUAUACUUGUUAACAAUGAUUUUGAGAGAGAACUAGUCUAAAGUCCAAGGUCCAUAUGGUCCACCCUGGAUACGGGAUUUGUGCAAUAUGUUUUCCCUCCCUCUCCCAUUUACCUAUGAUGGUUUUGAUAUAAAUAUGUAUAUUGUAAACAAGUGACAAGUUGUUCAAAUAACAACAAAAUCACCAAUGUCUUCCAUUAAGAAAAUGUAUAGUCCCAUAUGCUUAUGUAGCAAGCUUUUAGUGCCGACAUUAUACAUGGCCAUGCAUGAGAGGUUGUGAUGCUUGCUGAGUAACAUAGUUCUAGUAAUAUACUUAUAUAUUUUAAGGUGUAUACAGUAUAGACAGAACAAACUUUAGUUACCAACUGGGAUGUAGCAUCCUUUUCCAACAUUAGUCUGAGAUUGCUCCAAAAGUGGGGACUCCCUAUGUCUUUGUCUGUCCAUCUCAAAACACAUAGCCAGGCCUCUUGUAAGAGUUAUGUUCGCCCUUUUGGGGUAAGCAGGAGGGAGUAGUGGCUCGACCCCGAAGGCAUAAAGACACUACAAGUUUGACCUUGCCCACAGCUGACUUGCAUGCCCAUUUUCACAUUCCCAGAGAUACACGUUAUAGUGCUGUUGUCAGAUUUAUGUGUUUGGCAUGAUUGUGGUUGGUGCUAGUAUAAUUGCAGUUUGUAGGGUUGUUCAAGUGAUCUAUGCUGUACCAAAAGCCUGCUAUAAGCAUUUCCUCAAAUCUAUGAGACUAGAUCACCAUAGAUGGUUGUGUAGGAAAUUUCCCCACAUGUACAGUAGACCUCCUUCAAUUUAAUUCAAUUUGAGAGUAGCACAUGAAGAGAGUAAUUACUGUAGGCCUGACAGUAUGCUCCAUGGUAGUUUCAAGUAAUGAGUUUACCCUCUGACUUAUCUUUGACCCUUACUGUAUUUUUGCCCCUAAUAUUACUGAAAACAAAUGUCAUUUUAGUAUUGGAAGACUACAAGUCUUUAAAUAUUAUGUCUCCUCAGUUUAAACUAUAUGAGCCGCUUGGUCAGUGAGGGAUUGCUAAUUUAAAUGUUCAAAAUCUGCAUAAUCGAUUGCUGUUUGGUGGCAUGAUUCAAAGCAAUCCAGACCAGUCUUCAUUGCACACUUCCUAACACCUCUCCCAGACUCAGUAGGGGAUGUGUCCUUAGUUGGUAGAUUACUAAAGUAGGUUAGGUGGCCUAGAUUCAGAAUAGCACAGAAUUUAACACUAGGUAAACAGUAGGUUAUUAGAGUAUUAACAAUAUUGAGCUCAAGUAUUUAAAUAUUCUCAUGUAAAUAAAUACCUCAAUGAUUGGAAAGCAGCAAAAGAUUUAAAAUUAGUAAUACAAUUUAAGCCAUAGCAUAUGUAAAGUAGUGUUAGGAGCAAUACAAAUAUUACGCAUGAUUUUAGUGUCAGUUUUGGUUUAAAUGAGGUGUUGUGGAAUGGAAACCCUUAGCAUAAAAUAGCUGUGUUCAGUGUUGAAAAGAAUUGCAUUCUGUUUGAUAACUGAUGUUGAAGGCAUCGAUAGUAAUGGUGGUAUGGAGAGGUUCGGAAAUCUCUUCUAUGGGAUAAUGGAUUUAACAUAAUACAUGUGGCGAAGAAACUGAAACCACAAUGUUUUGGAAGAUUGCCGUGUGAAUCUUCUUUUGUAGUUGAGAACAGAACAAUAUUUUCAAAAGUACCAUUGUUAGAAAAAAGGUCCUGUUGCGUGUGCAAGGGGCAGUCCCUUUUGACAUCCCAGCAUGUGUCGAUAGCAUGUUUACAUCAUGAUGACAUUAAAACAGGAUCAUCAUCAUUAUCAGAUGCACAUGAAUAAUAUGCAUUGUAUCUUAACCAAAAGCAAUAGAACAUGUGUAGUGGUCUUGCUACAAUUACUAGUAUUUUCUGGAUGAACACACUAAACUGUAUGUCCACCGUCACCGUGGCAACGGAGCUUUCUCUGUGACCAUGAUGGCCAAAGGGAGUUCGCCUUGUGACAGCAUGAUCUCCCUGAAAUGCUGCUUCAAGAUAGAAGGCGACAAGGAUAUGACUCAUAAAGCACUUUCCCUCAUCUGUACUGUACAGUGAGAAACACUUCACAUAAAUUGUAAUCUCAUGACAUCGCAAAGUCAACCCCUCUACGAUUAAUUAUGGACAUGAUGUUGUAAAACUAUCUAUGAAUUAAUAUAGUCUCAGUCUAUAGGAAUGCAGUGGAAAUAGUGUUUGCAUGAUGGAGCAACUUAUGAAAUGUGUAGUACUGCAUGCAAUAAUGACAUUUUUGUAUGACUAUUUGAAUAUGACUUAAAAAUAAUCAUUGCUUGGAAAAUCGAUUGGUAACUACAGCAUUGUUGUAAAAAAUGUUUGUGUCAAAACGAAAAUCUCCCAUAAUUCUUCUGGUACCUUGUUAUUUGCUAAUUUGUAUUAAUUUGUGGAGGAUGCAAAGCCUCUUAGGAAAUAUUUAUGAAAUUACAGAAAAGUCAAUGCAACUGAUUAACUGCAAGUUUGUUAGUAUCACAGUAAGAUCAAGAUUGCCUCAAACAGAACAUAAAUCAGUUGUUCUUGCUUAAAAAUGGAAAAACACAAACCUGUACUUGUUUAUAUUAUGUACUGACACAUCAUUUGGUGUAGUGACCCAAACAUUUGGAUAAUAAUCUGUUGUAGCGGUAAUGUCUUUUUGCAAAGCUAAUUAACAGAUGAAAGGCACAAUUGGAACAGUUGGAAAUUGGUGAAAUUGUGUUGUGAAACUCUAAAUGAAAAGACUGUAGGUUUUGUCUAAACUAUGCACUUAAGAGAGGCACCAAGCAUGCUAAGAUGAGCCUCUUAACCAUUUUGUUAAAAGUGAAGAAAAUGCAUCACAUAUGUAGCAAUAAAAAGCAGCAUGGUGCCAAUCAUA